Flaviramulus basaltis is the source of this 81-nucleotide non-coding RNA. NCBI's taxonomy places the organism in Bacteria, Pseudomonadati, Bacteroidota, Flavobacteriia, Flavobacteriales, Flavobacteriaceae. The record is from Rfam.
AUAACAGAGGAAAGAUUUGACUGAUUGCAACCUCUUUGUACUUGAUUUUUAAGUAUAAAUAAAAAUGCUAAAGGCAGUGAA